CCGGCGACCGGCGCACGGGUGAGUAACACGUAUGCAACCUGCCCUCUUCAGGGGGACAACCUUCCGAAAGGGAGGCUAAUCCCGCGUAUAUCGGUUUCGGGCAUCCGAGAUCGAGGAAAGAUUCAUCGGAAGAGGAUGGGCAUGCGGCGCAUUAGGAAGACGGCGGUGUGACGGACCACCGUUCCGACGAUGCGUAGGGGUUCUGAGAGGAAGGCCCCCCACACUGGUACUGAGACACGGACCAGACUCCUACGGAAGGCAGCAG
RNAcentral lists this ribosomal RNA (265 nucleotides) under uncultured bacterium. RNAcentral describes it as "partial 16S ribosomal RNA". It matches the Rfam family "Bacterial small subunit ribosomal RNA", at positions 88 to 354 of the family's 1533-position model. The record is from RNAcentral.